UACGUAGGUGGCAAGCGUUGUCCGGAUUUACUGGGCGUAAAGAGCGCGCAGGCGGUCGGCCAAGUCGAGUGUGAAAGCCCCCGGCUCAACUGGGGAGGGUCAUUCGAUACUGGUCGACUCGAAGGCAGGAGAGGGAAGCGGAAUUCCCGGUGUAGUGGUGAAAUGCGUAGAUAUCGGGAGGAACACCUGUGGCGAAAGCGGCUCACUGGACCACAACUGACGCUGAGGCGCGAAAGCUAGGGGAGCAAACAGG
This 253-nucleotide ribosomal RNA is filed under the name uncultured bacterium. RNAcentral's name for it is "partial 16S ribosomal RNA". It matches the Rfam family "Bacterial small subunit ribosomal RNA", at positions 524 to 776 of the family's 1533-position model. The record is from RNAcentral.